RNAcentral lists this ribosomal RNA (496 nucleotides) under uncultured bacterium. RNAcentral's name for it is "partial 16S ribosomal RNA". It matches the Rfam family "Bacterial small subunit ribosomal RNA", at positions 28 to 506 of the family's 1533-position model. The record is from RNAcentral.
GAUGAACGCUGGCGGCGUGCCUAAUACAUGCAAGUCGAGCGAACAGACGAGGAGCUUGCUCCUCUGACGUUAGCGGCGGACGGGUGAGUAACACGUGGAUAACCUACCUAUAAGACUUGGAUAACUUCGGGAAACCGGAGCUAAUACCGGAUAAUAUAUUGAACCGCAUGGUUCAAUAGUGAAAGACGGUUUUGCUGUCACUUAUAGACGGAUCCGCGCCGCAUUAGCUAGUUGGUAAGGUAACGGCUUACCAAGGCGACGAUGCGUAGCCGACCUGAGAGGUUGAUCGGCCACGCGGGAACUGAGACACGGUCCAGAUGCCUACGGGAGGCAGCAGUAGGGAAUCGGCCGCAAGGGGCGAAAGCCUGACGGAGCAACGGCGCGAGAGUGAGGAAGGUCUUCGGAUCGUAAAACUCUGUUAUUGGGGAAGAACAAAUGUGUAAGUAACUAUGCUCGUCUGGACGUUACCGAAGCAGAAAGCCACGGCUAACUACGU